This 253-nucleotide ribosomal RNA is filed under the name uncultured bacterium. Its description in RNAcentral is "partial 16S ribosomal RNA". It matches the Rfam family "Bacterial small subunit ribosomal RNA", at positions 524 to 776 of the family's 1533-position model. The record is from RNAcentral.
UACGUAGGUGGCAAGCGUUGUCCGGAUUUACUGGGCGUAAAGGGCGUGCAGGCGGUUUGUUAAGUCUAGGGUGAAAGCUCCCGGCUCAACUGGGAGAGGUCCUUGGAUACUGGCAGACUUGAGGAGGGUAGAGGAGAGUGGAAUUCCCGGUGUAGUGGUGAUAUGCGUAGAUAUCGGGAGGAACACCAGUGGCGAAGGCGGCUCUCUGGGCCGUACCUGACGCUGAGACGCGAAAGCGUGGGGAGCGAACCGG